RNAcentral lists this ribosomal RNA (483 nucleotides) under uncultured bacterium. Its description in RNAcentral is "bacterial SSU rRNA". It matches the Rfam family "Bacterial small subunit ribosomal RNA", at positions 30 to 507 of the family's 1533-position model. The record is from RNAcentral.
AUUGAACGCUGGCGGCAUGCCUUUACACAUGCAAGUCGAACGGUAACAGGUCUUCGGAUGCUGACGAGUGGCGAACGGGUGAGUAAUACAUCGGAACGUGCCCGAUCGUGGGGGAUAACGCAGCGAAAGCUGUGCUAAUACCGCAUACGAUCUACGGAUGAAAGCGGGGGAUCGCAAGACCUCGCGCGGACGGAGCGGCCGAUGGCAGAUUAGGUAGUUGGUGGGGUAAAGGCACACCAAGCCUUCGAUCUGUAGCUGGUCUGAGAGGACGACCAGCCACACUGGGACUGAGACACGGCCCAGACUCCUACGGGAGGCAGCAGUGGGGAAUUUUGGACAAUGGGCGCAAGCCUGAUCCAGCCAUGCCGCGUGCAGGAUGAAGGCCUUCGGGUUGUAAACUGCUUUUGUACGGAACGAAAAGGUCUGCCUUAAUACGGCGGGCCCAUGACGGUACCGUAAGAAUAAGCACCGGCUAACUACGUG